GUGGGGAAUUUUGGACAAUGGGCGCAAGCCUGAUCCAGCCAUUCCGCGUGCAGGAUGAAGGCCUUCGGGUUGUAAACUGCUUUUGUACGGAACGAAAAGCCUCUGGUUAAUACCCGGGGGUCAUGACGGUACCGUAAGAAUAAGCACCGGCUAACUACGUGCCAGCAGCCGCGGUAAUACGUAGGGUGCGAGCGUUAAUCGGAAUUACUGGGCGUAAAGCGUGCGCAGGCGGUGAUGUAAGACAGUUGUGAAAUCCCCGGGCUCAACCUGGGAAGUGCAUCUGUGACUGCAUUGCUGGAGUGCGGCAGAGGGGGAUGGAAUUCCGCGUGUAGCAGUGAAAUGCGUAGAUAUGCGGAGGAACACCGAUGGCGAAGGCAAUCCCCUGGGCCUGCACUGACGCUCAUGCACGAAAGCGUGGGGAGCAAACAGGAUUAGAUACCCUGGUAGUCC
This 450-nucleotide ribosomal RNA is filed under the name uncultured bacterium. RNAcentral describes it as "partial 16S ribosomal RNA". It matches the Rfam family "Bacterial small subunit ribosomal RNA", at positions 354 to 796 of the family's 1533-position model. The record is from RNAcentral.